RNAcentral lists this unclassified non-coding RNA (760 nucleotides) under Daphnia pulex (common water flea). RNAcentral's name for it is "uncharacterized LOC124192995, transcript variant X2". The record is from RNAcentral. Lineage: Eukaryota; Metazoa; Arthropoda; Branchiopoda; Diplostraca; Daphniidae.
AGCCCUUUAGCCCCUACCUUCUUGGUUCUUUGUUAAGUUGAAUCAUGGGUUCUGAGAGAAAGGGUCGCCAUUUUCAUUUGUUUGGGGUUUUGAUGUUGAUUGCUACUUGUUAGGCAUUUUUUAGAAUUUGUGAUGGGUUUUAGUUGGUUUGGUUUGGCGGUUCGUGAGCUUGCUAUUAUUGUUGACGAAUUUUGAUGCUGAAAGACUUGGAAACCACGCUGUCCACCACGUCGAGAAGCUGAGUAACGUUCCGCGUGUACAAUGGCGCCUCUUAAUAAAAGGAACUGAAGCCAUCCAAUCUAGUGCUUCCAUCCAAUCGUGCAGGCUGCAUGAAAGUCACAUUUACCUUUGCUGUGAACAUCACACAUACACAGAUAGGCCUACACUAUUUGAAGGUUCAUGUUUACAUAGCAGUGGUGUUGCUGUCCAAUGUGGCGUGUUGUUGCAGCCUAUGGUAGUGAAAGCUAUCUGCAUCAAGUUGCUGUUCCUUGUGCAUCCAAGGUGCUGGUUUUGUGCUACAGAAGUGACAUCCAAUAUUGUGUUUAAUUGCUAUUCGUGUCUUUGCAGUUUACCUUUAUAUAUUGAGAAGGAACAAAAAAAAUAGUAUUACGGGGAGGUUUAUGUCAAACAAAUAAUAAACAUGUCCAGGAUGGGGGAAUGAGGAGGAAUUUGGGGUUGGAUAUUUGGUUAUGAUUUACUAAAAGAAGUGAGGUAUAUUUUUAAUGAAUGUACAGUACUUGGUGAUAAAAUCUGUUGUUAA